RNAcentral lists this ribosomal RNA (253 nucleotides) under uncultured bacterium. RNAcentral's name for it is "partial 16S ribosomal RNA". It matches the Rfam family "Bacterial small subunit ribosomal RNA", at positions 524 to 776 of the family's 1533-position model. The record is from RNAcentral.
UACGUAGGGUGCGAGCGUUGUCCGGAAUUACUGGGCGUAAAGAGCUCGUAGGUGGUUUGUCGCGUUGUUCGUGAAAACUCACAGCUUAACUGUGGGCGUGCGGGCGAUACGGGCAGACUGGAGUACUGCAGGGGAGACUGGAAUUCCUGGUGUAGCGGUGAAAUGCGCAGAUAUCAGGAGGAACACCGGUGGCGAAGGCGGGUCUCUGGGCAACAACUGACGCUGAGGAGCGAAAGCGUGGGGAGCGAACAGG